Molecule: long non-coding RNA, 1044 nt
Filed under: Chinchilla lanigera (long-tailed chinchilla)
Lineage: Eukaryota; Metazoa; Chordata; Mammalia; Rodentia; Chinchillidae
Description: lncRNA (ENSCLAG00000023917.1)
Source: RNAcentral
UAUUUUAUUAUUUAGGCAAUAAUGGAUUUCAAACAGAUAAGUUGACAUGUUGAGGAAAGUUCAACAAAAUGGGUGCUUUGAUAGCAACCUUUCGGAAUCGGAUACGACUUGUUUGAAAAUGAAUUUUCAUACAUCUGGAGCAAUGGCGCUAAAAUGAAAAAAUGAACCACACAUGGAGGCAUGCCCCAGCUACUUGGGAGGCUGAGGCAGGAAGAGUGUGAACUGGAGGCCAGUCUGGGCAACACAGUAAGACCCUGUCUCUUGUAAGGAAAAUAAGGGGGCUGAGGAUGUAGUUCAGUGGUAAAGCACUUGCUUAGCAUGCUGAGGCCCUAGGUUUGACCCCAGCACUACAAAAGAAAAUAUGCAGAAAAAGAUAACAUGAUGCCUGAAGUAUUCUUGGAUGUUGUGCUAAGUUUAGGGCUAAACAAGGUAGAAAAGUUCCUGCCUUUGGCCCUUAGAGACUGAGGUAGAGCCCAAUUAGUUAACUAUGGUGACAGAUGCCAAGUACUAUAAUAACAAUGCAGUUGCUAUAGAAUGAACUUGGCUUGAGGAGCAGGGAAGACUUCCUUAAUAAUAUCCAAAUAGGGGGCUGGGGAUUUAGCUCAGGCAAAGCGCUUGCCUGGCAAGUGCAAGGUCAUGAGUUCGAUUCCUGGUACUGGAAGAAAAGACAAAAAAAAAAUCCAAAUAGAAAAAUAAAAAGUGAAUAAAAUUGGUCAGCUGAAGGGUGGACAGAACUGUGUGGGGCUCUGAUUUGGCUGUAAAGUGGCAACGUUCUCUACUCUGCAGCUCCUAACUGUCUUCCACAACUCAGUAGACUGCAGUUUCACCAAGCACUUUCCCUGAGUCUUUUAUGUAUAUGACUUUUUUUGAACUUCUUUUCACUGAACUCUUACACUGAAUAAUAUUUUAUAAUAAAUGUGAACUUCAGGUAUUAUGUCCCAUCUUGGAGACAUUGAAUUGCUUCACUUAAUUUUCAAAAACAGCUUCCCAAGUUAAUUCAUCUUUCCUUUUCCCUAUAAGAAAAGUGAGGCUGAUUGAGCCUGC